This is a long non-coding RNA of Trifolium pratense (red clover), 224 nucleotides long. RefSeq lists it as uncharacterized. The transcript has 3 exons. The record is from RefSeq and is a predicted model, not a curated record. NCBI's taxonomy places the organism in Eukaryota, Viridiplantae, Streptophyta, Magnoliopsida, Fabales, Fabaceae.
CUAGGCAAAUGAUGUUUCAGAUGAUUUCAAUUUUCCAAUCCGAGAUCCUGUUGAUAGAGAAUUGCAAUCUAGUAACUUGUUUCUUGCCAAGGCCUGGUUUCUUACCGAUCAACGGAUGACAAGAAGCCGGUCUUCUGAAUUGCGGUAUUAUCAUCGCACCUUGUAUAUCUUUUUCAAAAUCAUGUUCACAAAAAGCACUUAUAUGAUUAGUGCUUAUGCUAUAA